RNAcentral lists this long non-coding RNA (273 nucleotides) under Mytilus galloprovincialis (Mediterranean mussel). Lineage: Eukaryota; Metazoa; Mollusca; Bivalvia; Mytilida; Mytilidae. The record is from RNAcentral.
AAAAUAAGAAGAUGUGGUAUAAUUUCAAAUGAGAUGUCUGUUUAUUACAAGCUAUAGCUACUGGUAGAAAAAGCUCCUGUAAAAUUAAAUUUUAUCAAGGUUGGGAGAGGACUUGUUAUCUGAAAGACAGAGAAAACACAAAAUCCUUCAACAUGAUUUUUUUUUAUAUCAAUGUCACGAUUCAGCAACUUUUCAAUAUUCCCCACUAUAGCAUCCGACAAACGAACGAAACAGUUGUUUUUUUUUAGUAAGAACAACAUUUUUAUCAAACCA